UACGGAAUAAUUAGAUUUUUAAAGACUAGCCUUGUAAGGGUGAGGGAAUAAUAAAACUGUGAUGUUUUAAGUUUACCAAAAUAUUGAUAGUUUGGGACAAGCAGGAGUAGUAGGUUAUCAGUGAAACUCGUAGUAAGAGCUAAAGGGGUAGUACCGUGAGGGAAAGUUGAAAUAUCGUGAAAUAUCUAAGAGUAGGAAAGAAAGAGUAAAGCCCUGUACCUUUUGUAUGAUGGUUCGGUGAGUAUUUUGGUAAAGAGUUGCCGUACCCGAAUUUGAGCGAGCUAGUGUACUCUCCUAGUGAGGAGAAGGCUUUUACUGUUGCAAUAGUAAGGUUUGAGGGUACAUUAGAUGUGAAAUGUUUAUCGUGCUCAACGAUAGCUGGUUUCCCCGGAAAUUGGUGUUAGCCAUGUUUGUUUGGCUAUUAAGGUUGUGUUAUCACGUGGAUAAUGAUUAAAUCCUUAAUGGGAAUUCAAAGCGUAGACAAGGAGGGAUAAGCUUUCUUGUCAAGGAGGUAAAAGCCUGAGCCAUGGGUUAAAAAUGCGCAGGGAAACACGUUAAUUGGGUCUCGAUUAGUGGUAGGAUUAAUGGCAUCUAUCCGAACGAGGGCGUUAAAGCUUGUUUUAUGUAGCCCGUGGCGUGUAGACGGAUUUUUGUAAGGCGGGUUUUAUGUUGUGACUAUUUUACGGGGGAGUCCUGCGGGGUUGCAGGAGUUAUAAUGCUGGAAUUAGUAAAGAAGUAGAGUAGGCCUUUUGUGUAUUAAGCAGUCCUAAUUUUUGAUGGAAAGAAGUAUAUAUGUGCGGGAAAGCAUAGUUCGCUUUUGUCUGUCUGCUAACUCAAGCGGCCUGGUAAGAAUUAGAGAGAUGAGGGGAAGGAACUCGGCAAAUGUGGGGACUUCGCCUGUUUACCAAAAACAUCGCCCUUUGUAAAGUUUUCUUAUGUAUAAAGGGUCCUGCCUGCCCGGUGACUUAGUUAAACGGCCGCGGUAUCUUGACCGUGCGAAGGUAGCAUAAUCAUUUGCCCUUUGAAUGGGGGCUGGUAUGAAUGGCAAGACGGAGGUUCAGCUGUCUCCCUCCCAGAUCUUGAAUUUGAUAUCCUCGUGAAGAAGCGGGGGUGUAAUCGUGGGACGAGAAGACCCUAUCGAGCUUUAGUUAGUUGCACAAGUUGGUUUGGUCGCCUAGGGGCUAAUUUUCUUUUUUAAAGGGGGUGAGUUUACCGUUUAGGCGGCUUGGUUAUGUGCUUGUAGCUUUAGUUGGGGCAACUGCGGAGAAUAGUUAUCCUCCGUUUAUUAAGCAUUUGGUGAAGUGCCAACUUCCAUGCAGGUGUUGCUUUUUCGGGGAUCCGCCGGUAAAGGGCGAUUAGAGGAAUAAGUUACCGUAGGGAUAACAGCGUAAUUUUCUUGGAGAGUUCUUAUUGAUAAGGAAGUUUGCGACCUCGAUGUUGGAUCGGGAUUACCUAGGGGUGCAGCAGCUCCUGAGGGUUGGUCUGUUCGACCAUUAAAAUCCUACGUGAUCUGAGUUCAGACCGGCGUGAGCCAGGUCAGUUUCUAUCU
RNAcentral lists this ribosomal RNA (1549 nucleotides) under Acanthaster planci (crown-of-thorns starfish). RNAcentral describes it as "l-rRNA". It matches the Rfam family "Bacterial large subunit ribosomal RNA", at positions 341 to 2643 of the family's 2925-position model. The record is from RNAcentral. Lineage: Eukaryota; Metazoa; Echinodermata; Asteroidea; Valvatida; Acanthasteridae.